This 1093-nucleotide long non-coding RNA is filed under the name Mustela putorius furo (domestic ferret). RNAcentral's name for it is "lncRNA (ENSMPUG00000031697.1)". The record is from RNAcentral. Lineage: Eukaryota; Metazoa; Chordata; Mammalia; Carnivora; Mustelidae.
GAGACCAUGGCCUGCCAUUUCUUAUUUGCCAGAAUUCUUAUAAGGAUAAAAUUAGAUGAUAGAUAAUGGAACAGAUUUGUGAGCUCUAAAGCACUAUGAUGCUAAUCCCUGUUGUUUAACAGCAGCAUAAUGGAGUGAUAGAAUGGAAUAUAAUGGAGUGAGAGAGCAAAACUGGACUUGAAUUAUGCCUCAAGAAUACCAUUUAAAACCAUGUGAUAUUAUUCAGGUGAAUCCUAGUCUCUCAGCAUUUUUAAUCCAGUAUCAAGUCAAGGGAUAUAAAAUCUACUUUUCACAGCAAGAUUGCAGGGAUAAAAGCGGGAAAUUGCUUAAGACUCAAUGCUACCAAUCAUUUUAACAUAAGCCAUAAUUCAUAAAUGCCAGAAAUUAAUAUAUGCUAUUUUUUAUGAUAAGAAAACUUGUUGUGGAAUAUUAUAACUUGUCAAAUAGACUCGAGGUGAAUAGGUCUCUUUGGGAGGCUAAGCAACCCUGUCUUAAGAGCCAAUGAGAGGGUUGACGACACAUCAGCCUAAGAGAUAAAACCUCCUUUCAGUGAUGGAAGGGUUAACAAGACUUGAAGAGUGGGUGCUAUUAAUGAUACAGUCAGCUCUGGGUUAGAUGGGCUCCUGCUGUUUUUCUUGGCAGUGAGUGCUGGAUCUGCUUUCAUCAUUCAUGACCUUUUCACCCUUGGAAGAACAGCUAAGGCAGCUUCUUGCUGUGAGGGACCCAGGUAACCAAGUUCUUGGAGUAAGAUCAAGAUUUUCUUGCAAUCUGUCAUGCCCUCUCCUUUGAUAUUUAGCUGGACCUGGGGCUUGCUCAGUGUUGUCUAGAGGCCCUAUGCUGCAUGGAAUGAACAGAGGGUAGCCCCUCACAUGUCUUUAAUCUCCAGUCCCUCCAGACUCCAGAAAAAAAAAUGACAGAAGUUGUUUGUUCUGAAGGGAAAGAAGUAGCGAAAGAGACAGCAGGAGAAGACCGCCUAGGACAAGCAGAUGAAUACACUAACAAGCAAACAAAAACAAAUCAAGUUCAAGGAGCUUCAAAGGGUGAAAUCCUGGAGGAGUGGAGUGCUGCAGGACUGCGCCAUUGUCAGUCUUGA